GAUGAACGCUGACAGAAUGCUUAACACAUGCAAGUCAACUUGAACUUCGGUUUGGGUGGCGGACGGGUGAGUAACGCGUAAAGAACUUGCCUCACAGCUAGGGACAACAUUUGGAAACGAAUGCUAAUACCUGAUAUUAUGAUUAUAUGGCAUCGUAUAAUUAUGAAAGUUAUAUGCGCUGUGAGAGAGCUUUGCGUCCCAUUAGCUAGUUGGAGAGGUAACAGCUCACCAAGGCGAUGAUGGGUAGCCGGCCUGAGAGGGUGAUCGGCCACAAGGGGACUGAGACACGGCCCUUACUCCUACGGGAGGCAGCAGUGGGGAAUAUUGGACAAUGGACCGAGAGUCUGAUCCAGCAAUUCUGUGUGCACGAUGAAGUUUUUCGGAAUGUAAAGUGCUUUCAGUUGGGAAGAAAAAAAUGACGGUACCAACAGAAGAAGUGACGGCUAAAUACGUG
This 454-nucleotide ribosomal RNA is filed under the name uncultured bacterium. RNAcentral's name for it is "partial 16S ribosomal RNA". It matches the Rfam family "Bacterial small subunit ribosomal RNA", at positions 28 to 507 of the family's 1533-position model. The record is from RNAcentral.